AACAAUGGGGUCUACAGUUAAUGGGGUCUUAUAGUUAAGAAGGAAGUUUAAAUUUGCUCUGUUGAUACUUGGUGCCUUUCCUGUGUUUUACUCAUUUGCUUAAAUACUCAAAGAAUUUUCCCACCUCAUAUAAUUCUUCUAAAAAUGAUCUUGCAAACAGAAUAUGUUCUUUAUAUUUACAUUUUAGUGAUUUCAGACCCUGUUUUGAAUUUUGAUCCUGAGCAAUUACCUCAGUGGCCUGACACCUGAACCAUUUUAUUAAACCACAAACCUAUUCAGCCUAACCUGUCAAAGCAAGAUGGAAGCAAAUCCUUGAGUUUCUGUCAGAAAAAGCCUCCUUGCGGUGGAAAUAUUUGCACCACUUUUUACUUCUUUAGCCUCUUUAGAAAACUCUUGACCUCAAUUUUCUCCUUUACAAUUCUGCAGACCACAAGUCCAAACUCAAGGUAUUUGGAGUUUGGACCUUCCCUGUAGAGGCUCUAAAAGAGAAUUAAUUUCUUUGUUUUUUCAGCUUCUGGUGGCUGAAAUAGGUUUGUGGCAACAUCACUCCAAUCCCAGUCUCUGACUUCUUAUUGCCUUCUCCUUUGUAUUCCUCUCAAAUAUCCUUCUGCUUUUGUCUUAAAAGGAUUAUUUGUCACUGUUUUUUUUCCUCAUCUAAAUAAUCCAGAAUGAUUUCCUCAUGUCAGAAUUCUUAACUUGCUUAUAUCUGCAAAGAUCUUUUUUUCCAAAUAAAUUAACAUUCAUAGGUUCUAGGAAUUAAAAUGUGAACAUAUUGUGCUGGGGUUAUCACUCAAGCUAAUACAAGGAGCCACAAUUCAGACCAGGCAAUCUUGUUUCAGUGACUAUAAGGUAUAACAAAUGAAUUAAGGUGACAUUGAAAAAUCUAAACUUAAAGCGAAUUAUUUCUAUUUUUAUAUUUUUCCUUAUACUUUUCACAGAGUGCAUACGAAGACAUUCCAGAUAAUAUAGUCUCAUGUAUAUGUUAGUUAAAUUGCAAUAAGCAAAGCAUCAUAACCCCAAAUUAUGCUGUAUAUGUAAGAAUGACUUAAUUCUUCUAAGUUCCUCUUUGACCAACACUGAGUCUUUCUUAUAAACAUUAUCUAAAAAUGCCAGGACAUAUCCUGUCAUAUAGCUGUAUCUCAAAAAACAUUUGUUGAUUGUUUUGUUAAAAUAAUUCUAACUAAACAUCUCAAUUAAAAUAGAUUUCUCUAUUACCCAAUACUAUUAAGAACUAAUUUUAUUCCUGGAGAUACCAUCUGUCUGGUAAUUUUCUUAAGAUUUAUGUUCAUUUCAGAAAUCUUGAUAAGGUGAAUGAUAUUUUAGACAGAAUACAA
RNAcentral lists this long non-coding RNA (1334 nucleotides) under Callithrix jacchus (white-tufted-ear marmoset). RNAcentral describes it as "lncRNA (ENSCJAG00000077418.1)". The record is from RNAcentral. Lineage: Eukaryota; Metazoa; Chordata; Mammalia; Primates; Cebidae.